UGUUAAAAAUUUCAUUCAUUUGUACUGUCAAAAACUGGCGUGACUAGUGAAAUAACCUGACCACGUGUAUCUCAUGCUAAUGUACAAGGAUCAGUCUUUUACAGUAAAAAUGGGUGGAAUUUUUAACA
Gossypium raimondii (Peruvian cotton) is the source of this 128-nucleotide non-coding RNA. The record is from Rfam. NCBI's taxonomy places the organism in Eukaryota, Viridiplantae, Streptophyta, Magnoliopsida, Malvales, Malvaceae.